RNAcentral lists this ribosomal RNA (235 nucleotides) under uncultured bacterium. RNAcentral describes it as "partial 16S ribosomal RNA". It matches the Rfam family "Bacterial small subunit ribosomal RNA", at positions 335 to 587 of the family's 1533-position model. The record is from RNAcentral.
CGGCCUACGGGGCACAGCAGUGGGGGAUAUUGCACAAUGGGGGGAACCCUGAUGCAGCGACGCCGCGUGGGUGAAGGAGCGUUUCGGCGCGUAAAGCCCUCUCGGCAGGGAAGAAGAUGACGGUACCUGACCAAGAAGCCCCGGCUAACUACGUGCCAGCAGCCGCGGUAAUACGUAGGUGGCAAGCGUUGUCCGGGUUUACUGGGUGUAAAGGGCGUGUAGCCGGGCCGGCAAG